Trichosporon asahii var. asahii CBS 8904 is the source of this 89-nucleotide transfer RNA. It matches the Rfam family "tRNA". From Rfam's summary of the family: Transfer RNA (tRNA) molecules are approximately 80 nucleotides in length. Their secondary structure includes four short double-helical elements and three loops (D, anti-codon, and T loops). Lineage: Eukaryota; Fungi; Basidiomycota; Tremellomycetes; Trichosporonales; Trichosporonaceae. The record is from Rfam.
GCCCGCCUAGCUCAGCUGGUUAGAGUCUCCGACUUUUACGCUUAUUCGUUGACAUCGGAUGGUCGCGGGUUCGAACCCCGCGGUGGGCU